This 373-nucleotide ribosomal RNA is filed under the name uncultured bacterium. Its description in RNAcentral is "bacterial SSU rRNA". It matches the Rfam family "Bacterial small subunit ribosomal RNA", at positions 29 to 416 of the family's 1533-position model. The record is from RNAcentral.
AAUCAACGCUGGCGGCGCGCUUAACACAUGCAAGUCGAACGAGAAAGGGGAGCAAUCCCUGAGUACAGUGGCGUACGGGUGAGUAACACGUGGAUGAUCUAUCUCUUAGUGGGGAAUAACCCUGGGAAACCGGGGAUAAUACCGCAUAAGCUCGAGAGAGGAAAGCAGCAAUGCGCUGAGAGAGGAGUCCGCGGCCGAUUAGCUAGUUGGCAGGGUAAAAGCCACCAAGGCAGAGAUCGGUAGCCGGCCUGAGAGGGCACACGGCCACACUGGCACUGAAACACGGGCCAGACUCCUACGGGAGGCAGCAGUGGGGAAUCUUGCACAAUGGGGGAAACCCUGAUGCAGCGACGCCGCGUGAGCGAUGAAGCCC